Molecule: long non-coding RNA, 2330 nt
Organism: Lolium perenne
Lineage: Eukaryota; Viridiplantae; Streptophyta; Magnoliopsida; Poales; Poaceae
Source: RefSeq, a predicted model, not a curated record
GGUCCUCACCACAACCACCGUACCACCCAUCCUCACCUGCUCCCUUCCUCACCUCCUCUUUUAAUCCUUUCCAAACCCUAGCCUUCCUUUCCUCCCUCGCGCCGCCGCCAGCUACCUCCUCUUCUCCCCAUCGUUUUCCUCCCCUCUCUGUAAGCAAACGAAGGAGAGAAACCUCACAGUACCGCGUCCACCUCGCCAUGGUGCCGCCGCUCGAGGCCACCCCUGGCCAAGCUGAGACCACCGGCGGGUGCGCCUCAUCAUCCUCUACCUCCUGAUGCGAGGAAUCGAGCCAGGAGAUCUCGAAUCAACCGCGGGCUCGCCGUUUCCCUUCUUCGGCCGUCGUCGUCUUUCGUCAAUUCUGGCCGCAUCCAUGCGCCUCCGCUGUUUCUGAGUACGGAAACACACUCCUGGAGCUCGACGCCGGCGACUCUCCGGUGAUCCCCUGGACUCCGCACCGCCUCCAUCACCUUCCCCGCGUCGAGCCGCACCCCCGACGCCAUCUCGCCCUUCUUGGUUCGCCCGGAAUCAGCAGAUCGGUGUUUGUUCUGUGAGUUCCGCCAUGGCUUCCAGUUGUGAGCUCCGCGUUCUUUCCCUUCAUGUUACGGCGCACCCUAGUGUUGACACGAACCGAACAAUAGCACAGUGACCUGGGGUCACGAAUGGGCCGACCCAAUCUUCCUGCGGUUCAGCCCAUCGCUCAUGAGCGCCCAGCCACAGCCUACCGACGCUUGGGCCAGCAUUUGCUUCUUCCCGGAUAGGAUCACGAAGUGGUGUGGUGAGAUACGACAAGUGCUUCUGCAGCUUUUCACAGGCGAGCCCUCUCUCUUCACCUAUUUUACUCUCCCCCUCGCAUUGCUAUCCUUAUGUUGCGAUUCUUUAUCGAGUCACGUGUCCUAUUCCACUUGUUUACCAUAAUAAUCCUAUAUGUAUCAUUCCUUACCCAUAGCCGUUGCUUGAUGUUUGAGCCUUGCGAGUCGUAGGCGUGUUUAGGCUCUGUUUUUUAUCUCGAUCUGUUAUCGGGAUAUGUUGGGUUGUUGGGAGGUUGUCACAUGCUAUAUCAGUUGUUGGAGAUACACAUGCUUUAUUUAAUGUUAACAACUAAAAUUGUAAGCAGAGGCAUCUGUGAGCCCCUUUGCGAAAGCAUCGGAACUUUGACUUGCAAAUGUCCCCUAGGACCCGAGUUCUUGUUAUCUGUUCCGAGAUUGAGCGCUCUACCCAUGCGUGGGGACGAUUAUUGGGACCCCCCCCUCACCCAUUACCUUUUCUCAAGUUAGUUGAAAAGGGGGCCACAACCUUGGUUUUAUUUGGCGCAUGCAUGUUUAUAUAUUGUUGCCUUCGGGUGUUUACUUCCUGUUGCCUUCGGGUAUUUAUAUUCUGUAUUGUACCCCGCGGAACGUUUAGCGAAGCGUGUGGUUUGCACGCCUAGCCGUUAACGCAAACCCUGAGUCCGCUUCGGAGUACGGCCGGACUUCGUUACGGGUAGCUUAGUCGGGUGGCCCCCCUAGACUUUCUUGUUGAACUGGGAACGGUCUUGUUGUGAGACAUCCACCUGUCGUAAGUGGGUCGAGCAUGCGUAUGGUUACAUUUGGGCAACCCCUGCAGGGUGUACAUCUUAUCGAUAAGCCGUGUCCGCGGUUAUGGACGACUUGGAAUUGUUUAGCUUGAUCAUAGAACAACUUACACCGUUAUCUUGUUGCUAAUAAUUUGCUAAUAACUUGCGUAGUAAUAUAGCAUUACUACAACCGAUACCUAAUAAAACUUGUCCACCGUUGAGUGCCUUUUACAUUGCCUCUUCGCAAUUGUUGAAGGGGAUAUGUGUAAUUGGCUGGGUUAUGUUUGUGUAGUAUUUUAUCUGUCACCUUGUACGCUCUCUUAUCUUAUCUGAUUAGACGGAUGUUGUAGCGUGUCUCUAUUGGUUAUAGUUUUGCUGCCGGUAAACCUACCAUAUAGCCCCCGGCGAUAUAUAUAUUAUACUCGCCCGGCGAGCAUAGCCAUUUCUAGUCUCGCUAAGUACGUGCCGGAGUUCGUUCCUUGGUACUUACUCUCGCCUUUUCCCCUUUCUCUUUUGCUUCCUCCCUCUUGUCGACAACCGAUGGCCCGACUUUGACGAGUACAAGAUGACGACGUUAGCAAGGUUACCCUUCCAGCUUGGCUCGGGCAGGGUUAUGGACGCCACUGGUUAUCUUCAGGACUCUUAGUCCAAUUUGUAUCUUGUCCGUACUCGGACGUAUUCGAUCUUCUGUAUGAUUUAAAUCUUUGUAUUGUAUAUUUGUAUCUUGACUCGUUGGAGUCGUUGUUGUAAUAUAUGUAUCUUGUGGGCUUUAUUGUAA